Molecule: microRNA precursor, 197 nt
Filed under: Oryza barthii
Lineage: Eukaryota; Viridiplantae; Streptophyta; Magnoliopsida; Poales; Poaceae
Description: MIR812 microRNA precursor family
Rfam family: MIR812 microRNA precursor family
Source: Rfam by way of RNAcentral
UUUAAGUGUAACUGUGCCUUUUUUUUCCAAAGUUUGACCGUCUAUCUUAUUUGAAAUUUUUUAUGUUUAGUAUUUUUACUAUUAUUAGAUGAUAAAAUAUGAAUAACAUUUUAUACGUGACUUAUUAUUUUUUAUUUUUAUAAUUUUUAGAUAAGAGGAACAGUCAAACAUUAUAUAUAGAAACCAACGCACUUAAA